RNAcentral lists this ribosomal RNA (192 nucleotides) under Stenotrophomonas maltophilia. RNAcentral's name for it is "partial 16S ribosomal RNA". It matches the Rfam family "Bacterial small subunit ribosomal RNA", at positions 1 to 184 of the family's 1533-position model. The record is from RNAcentral. Lineage: Bacteria; Pseudomonadati; Pseudomonadota; Gammaproteobacteria; Lysobacterales; Lysobacteraceae.
UUUAAGUGAAGAGUUUGAUCCUGGCUCAGAGUGAACGCUGGCGGUAGGCCUAACACAUGCAAGUCGAACGGCAGCACAGAGGAGCUUGCUCCUUGGGUGGCGAGUGGCGGACGGGUGAGGAAUACAUCGGAAUCUACUCUGUCGUGGGGGAUAACGUAGGGAAACUUACGCUAAUACCGCAUACGACCUACG